AGCCUUGUACACACCGCCCGUCAAGUCAUGGGAGCCGGAAAUGGCCGAAGCCGUCUCGAUUCGGAGAUGUCUACGCCAGGUUCGGGUGACUGGGACU
RNAcentral lists this ribosomal RNA (97 nucleotides) under uncultured bacterium. RNAcentral describes it as "partial 16S ribosomal RNA". The record is from RNAcentral.